This 466-nucleotide ribosomal RNA is filed under the name uncultured bacterium. RNAcentral describes it as "partial 16S ribosomal RNA". It matches the Rfam family "Bacterial small subunit ribosomal RNA", at positions 28 to 507 of the family's 1533-position model. The record is from RNAcentral.
GAUGAACGCUGGCGGCGUGCUUAACACAUGCAAGUCGAACGAUGAAGCCCAGCUUGCUGGGUGGAUUAGUGGCGAACGGGUGAGUAACACGUGAGUAACCUGCCCUUAACUCUGGGAUAAGCCUGGGAAACUGGGUCUAAUACCGGAUAGGAGCGUCCACCGCAUGGUGGGUGUUGGAAAGAUUUAUCGGUUUUGGAUGGACUCGCGGCCUAUCAGAUUGUUGGUGAGGUAAUGGCUCACCAAGGCGACGACGGGUAGCCGGCCUGAGAGGGUGACCGGCCACACUGGGACUGAGACACGGCCCAGACUCCUACGGGAGGCAGCAGUGGGGAAUAUUGCACAAUGGGCGCAAGCCUGAUGCAGCGACGCCGCGUGAGGGAUGACGGCCUUCGGGUUGUAAACCUCUUUCAGUAGGGAAGAAGCGAAAGUGACGGUACCUGCAGAAGAAGCACCGGCUAACUACGUG